This 1263-nucleotide long non-coding RNA is filed under the name Homo sapiens (human). Its description in RNAcentral is "novel transcript". Lineage: Eukaryota; Metazoa; Chordata; Mammalia; Primates; Hominidae. The record is from RNAcentral.
GAGUAUACUGGGCCCAGCCAGAUUCUCUGGGUGCUUUCUUCUUUCUUAGUUCCCCCUUUAUUGUGGGCCCUCCUCAGUGCCAACAUUGCUUUGUCUCUCGCUGGAGAAGCCUGUGAGAACGAGGAUGGGCAAAGUGUCAGGCUCUUGGUGCAGCUGAAAAUCCUUUGAGAUGGAAGAAAUGGCUGGAACAAAGGGGCAGAGGAACAAAAAGCCCUGAACUGCUUCGCCCCUGCCUCGUGGGGUCUUUAUCAUCUUAAACCUUGGGAUUUGAACAUCUGUCCAGUCCCUGGGAUGGUGAGGCUAUAACCACAAAGGAAUAAGAGAAGACGACUAGUUUUGUAAUGGGGACAUUGGCUGCUGUCUUCUGACCCACCCUGUGUGGCUUUGGCGUCUCCUGUGACCUCCCAGUAUGGGUCUUGGCCUCAUCCUGCCUCUUUGUCUUUCUGGCCCACCACCCACAGCUUGAAUCUCAGGCUCCAACAGUUGCCUGACCCCCAGAUUCUGAUGACAGCCUACCUACUUGUUCUUCAGGCCCUCACCAGACUCACUGCCCAGACACACCACACAGGAGAACAUGAAAGGCUUUGAAUGAUGCAUUGGCCCACGUGGACCACCUUCCAUUUCCCAAGACUUUUUGAAGGCAAUGAAUGAGAAGAAAGCAGAGAAAACAGUGGGCGUGAGGUCAGAUGACUCAGGCUUGAGUACUGAUCACAUCAAGGAUUGGACGCACUGCUCUUAGGAAGGCACAACUUCUACUACUUUCAGUCUUAUCAACUGUGAGAGUGUACCCUUGCUGUAGAUGCCACCCGCCCAGCAGUCCUCAUCAUCUUGGCCCAGGAUCACCUGAAACAGAUGAUCCUCCUUUUGAGCUACCAUCAGAAGGUCCACAGUACUAGCCCAGCGCUACAUCCCAAUGCCUACGCCAUUCAUCUCACCUCAUCUCAUCACGUAGACAUUUCAUCAUGUCACAUCAUCACAAGAAGGGAAUCUAUUCACAAAUAAGGUUUUGUGGAUUCAACAGCUUUACUGAAGAUAUGUAGAUUGUUGUUAGCGCUUCCUACCUUGCACAGCCUCUUGUCCCGUCACUGGCCCCAUGCAUCUUCCUCUGCUGCCUUCAAGAAGCUCCAGAUCCUGCCACAGACGUGCUCCACUCAGAGGACUGGAGUCCAAUCCCCUGACAGUGCUUUUCUCUUUGGGAAGCACCCCCUCCCCCACUGCCAUUAAACCUCUGGAAUUCUAUGGAAUAAAGUAAACAUUAACUUA